UUUAAAAUAACAAAACAAAAUUAAAAAAUCCUCUUUUUACUAAUUAGAAGAAACGAACCCCUUCAAAGUUCAGACACACAAACAUAACCUUCCUCUCUCUAGAAAUUCCCCCUUCUCUCUAAAAUCACAUUUGUGCUAAAAUUUGCAUGACCCAGCUCUAAAUCUCUCUAAUCAAAAUAUGAAUCAGGUAUGUGUCCAAAUCCCUAAUCUUUUCCUUUUUCUUUUAGGAACGAAAAUUUCAUCUAGAUGCUGUUCAAAUCCACGAUUUUGUGGUGGAAGAAGCUAAAAAAUAUUAAUCUGAAAAAGGAAAGAAGAGGGGUUAAGUGAACAGACCUUAUUGGAAAGGUCAUUAUUGAGGCGCUCAAUAUCAAGUCUUUGACCAAAUUUCUCUCUAAAUUCUUCAAGUGUGGAUUCAAUUUCUGAAUUGGGUAUUCCAAAACCACGAUCCUUGAGCAUUUCGAGCAUAGUUCUGCGCGCAAUUAAGUAUAUGUGGCUCUCAACUCUCAUAGUUGCUAGUGACCCUAAUCCUUUCUUUUUUGUUUAUACCCAUACUAGUUUAUAUAUAAAUUUAUGUUUGGGGGUUUUUAUAAGGAUUUUGUAAGGAAAAAUUUUCAACAUGCAGUUAGGGAUUAUUGUUAUUUCAGUAGUUUUACAUUUGUAUUCUUAGAUUUCAUCUCGAAUUUCUCUGAACUGUUUAAUAUCUACAGGAAUACAAACAAUAUAUGGCACUUAAACAAUAUAUGCUAUCGUUCAAGGAUGGUAUCGACCAAGGAGCAAUUACAAGGCACUUAAUAUUUUAUCUUUUUUGAAAUAUGUAUAUGCGUACAAUUAUAUUACAAUGCAUAAUGAAGUUUAGUUUUGUACAAUGAAUUGACCUUUUUAGUAAUAAAAAUAUUUAUAAUAUUCGGUUUCA
This 913-nucleotide long non-coding RNA is filed under the name Nicotiana benthamiana. RNAcentral describes it as "long non-coding RNA (NBEN_LNC013688)". The record is from RNAcentral. Lineage: Eukaryota; Viridiplantae; Streptophyta; Magnoliopsida; Solanales; Solanaceae.